CGGGGAUAUCUUAUGCGCAGGCCCGAGUGCUAGAUGAUUCAGGCAGAGCACAAAGCGGUGAAGAGCGGUCUCUUUAGUCUCCUCAGCUUGGAUGGCAGGGUUAAAGCCUACAAAGAUUUAAUUGCAGCAUGUAUGCCUUACUGGCAAGCACUUGGGCAAUGCGGACCGGCUGGACCUGUUACACAAGAAGUGGAUGGAGGCAACUUGAAUAAAAAUACAUCUGCCUAUAUUGUAAAUAGUGAAAAGAAGUAUAAUGAUGAUUGCUCAGAAAUGA
Long non-coding RNA from Nematostella vectensis (starlet sea anemone), 274 nucleotides. RefSeq lists it as uncharacterized. The record is from RefSeq and is a predicted model, not a curated record. NCBI's taxonomy places the organism in Eukaryota, Metazoa, Cnidaria, Anthozoa, Actiniaria, Edwardsiidae. The transcript has 2 exons.